This 1078-nucleotide long non-coding RNA is filed under the name Homarus americanus (American lobster). RNAcentral's name for it is "uncharacterized LOC121873336, transcript variant X1". Lineage: Eukaryota; Metazoa; Arthropoda; Malacostraca; Decapoda; Nephropidae. The record is from RNAcentral.
UAUUUUUUUAUGUUUCAGCAAAGACCAGACAAACCAGCCCUGCCAGAGAAGCCAAGCCUGAUGAAUCGCUCAAUAGUUCUCACAGACCAGUCAAAACCACAAAUCCCUGAGCGUCCAGCAGUGGUAGCACAGCGGCCUUCUGCUGCCACUUCCUCUGUUCCUGGUCAUACACAGCCCGUACCAUCAGAUACCAAUGUGACGGACGUGGACUCAGAAGGUAGGGUGGGUUCGGCUCUAAGGAGUGAUGGAGACAGUGGUGGAGGCAGCAGUGGUGAGGAUAAUGGAGUGCCAGUGCUAGAGACGGCUCCGCGUGUACUCAGUAGACAAGCAGCAGGUGGCCAUUGUCCAAGUGGGUGGUGGUAGUGCAGGUGCUCAAGAUGUUGUCAGUGGUAGCAGUGAGAAGCCAGGAAAGCCGGCCAAGCCCGAGAAGCCUCCUAAUAUUGUGCCCGUCCCCAUCAUUUACCUCAGAACAAGUGGAAUCUUUAGGAUCAUAUUCUGCCUCAGGUGAGCCAGCAGCAGUGUUUGAAACUACCAGCAGAGAAUUCUCUCCAUCAGGUUGCCAGUGACUCAAUGAGACUUAGUUCGUGUAUUAAGAGCGGUGGAUCUGGAAAGUUCACGUGGCCUCCUACCCUAGAUUCAACCACCUCCAAACUUGCUGAAGAUGAGACUGCUUCAGACUCCACAAACCUUUAAUUAACAUCAAGUGGUGCCUAAUGCCUGUGCAUUGUGUUGCUUAUAGAGCUGGUGCUAGUAACAACCCCAGUUGCAUGGUGCUCUUGUUACUAGGUUCUAAACACUUGGCUCAACACACAAUACAGUAAUAUCAAACGAAUGUCUCAUUUUUGAAAAGGUGGAGUCUGGUCUUUCAAACUUCUGCGGUUGUGUUGUCUCGAAAUGAUUCCAUAGAAUAAUGUGAAGAUAAAGCAGUAGGUAUAAAGUUCAGUUUUAGGUGCUUGUCAAAUUUCUUUUUCUGACGCUAGUUGCCAAUAGUGUUAGUGAAUACAGACUGAGAUUAAAGUGUUGGCAAACAGGGUGAGCCAAGUUGGAGGUGAAGCAAAGCUACACAGAAACAAUUCUU